RNAcentral lists this ribosomal RNA (301 nucleotides) under uncultured bacterium. RNAcentral's name for it is "partial 16S ribosomal RNA". It matches the Rfam family "Bacterial small subunit ribosomal RNA", at positions 509 to 807 of the family's 1533-position model. The record is from RNAcentral.
CAGUCGCCACGGUAAUACGUAGGGUGCAAGCGUUGUUCGGAUUUACUGGGCGUAAAGGGCGCGUAGGCGGGCUUCUCAGUCAGAGGUGAAAUCCCAAGGCUCAACCUUGGAACUGCCUUUGAUACUGGAAGUCUUGAGUUCGAGAGAGGUAAGUGGAACUGCGAGUGUAGAGGUGAAAUUCGUAGAUAUUCGGAGGAACAUCAGUGGCGAAGGCGGCCAUCUGGGACAACACUGACGCUGAAGCACGAAAGCGUGGGGAGCAAACAGGAUUAGAGACCCCAGUAGUCCCUGUCUCUUAUAC